This 494-nucleotide ribosomal RNA is filed under the name uncultured bacterium. RNAcentral's name for it is "partial 16S ribosomal RNA". It matches the Rfam family "Bacterial small subunit ribosomal RNA", at positions 28 to 507 of the family's 1533-position model. The record is from RNAcentral.
GACGAACGCUGGCGGCGUGCCUAAUACAUGCAAGUAGAACGCUGAGGGAGGAGCUUGCUUCUCUGGAUGAGUUGCGAACGGGUGAGUAACGCGUAGGUAACCUGCCUGGUAGCGGGGAUAACUAUUGGAAACGAUAGCUAAUACCGCAUAAGAGUAGAUGUUGCAUGACAUUUGCUUAAAAGGUGCAAUUGCAUCACUACCAGAUGGACCUGCGUUGUAUUAGCUAGUUGGUGGGGUAACGGCUCACCAAGGCGACGAUACAUAGCCGACCUGAGAGGGUGAUCAGCCACACUGGGACUGAGACACGGCCCAGACUCCUACGGGAGGCAGCAGUAGGGAAUCUUCGGCAAUGGACGGAAGUCUGACCGAGCAACGCCGCGUGAGUGAAGAAGGUUUUCGGAUCGUAAAGCUCUGUUGUAAGAGAAGAACGAGUGUGAGAGUGGAAAGUUCACACUGUGACGGUAUCUUACCAGAAAGGGACGGCUAACUACGUG